Molecule: ribosomal RNA, 406 nt
Filed under: uncultured bacterium
Lineage: Bacteria
Description: bacterial SSU rRNA
Rfam family: Bacterial small subunit ribosomal RNA
Source: RNAcentral
UGGGGAAUAUUGCACAAUGGGCGGAAGCCUGAUGCAGCGACGCCGCGUGGGGGAUGACGGCCUUCGGGUUGUAAACCUCUUUCAGCACCGACGAAGCGAGAGUGACGGUAGGUGCAGAUGAAGCGCCGGCCAACUACGUGCCAGCAGCCGCGGUAAUACGUAGGGUGCGAGCGUUGUCCGGAAUUAUUGGGCGUAAAGAGCUUGUAGGCGGUUUGUCGCGUCUGCUGUGAAAAUCCGGGGCUCAACCCCGGACUUGCAGUGGGUACGGGCAGACUAGAGUGUGGUAGGGGAGACUGGAAUUCCUGGUGUAGCGGUGAAAUGCGCAGAUAUCAGGAGGAACACCGAUGGCGAAGGCAGGUCUCUGGGCCACUACUGACGCUGAGAAGCGAAAGCGUGGGGAGCGAAC